Molecule: ribosomal RNA, 314 nt
Filed under: Euwallacea sp. 4 KO-2014
Lineage: Eukaryota; Metazoa; Arthropoda; Insecta; Coleoptera; Curculionidae
Description: partial 16S ribosomal RNA
Source: RNAcentral
AAUCACUAGUUUUUUAAUUGGAAGCUUGAAUGAAAGGUUGGAUGAAGAAACUACUGUCUCAAUUAAAAUUUAUUAGAAUUUUAUUAUUUUGUAAAAAGGCAAAAAUUUAUAUAAAAGACGAGAAGACCCUAUAGAGUUUUAUAGUUUUAAGAGAAAGGGUAAUUAGAAUAUAUUUUUUUAUUUUUUAAAAUUAUUUGGUUGGGGUGAUUGAAAAAUUUAAUUAACUUUUUUUGUAUAAAUACAUAGAUUUAUGAAUAUUUGAUCCUUUAAAAAGAUUAAAAGAAAAAAUUACCUUAGGGAUAACAGCGUUAUUU